AGGUGCAGUCACAAUCAAAUGCAAAAAUGAUGGGAUGAUGCAAUAAUGAUUAGCUGGAAUACAGCUGUGAAGAGGUAGGAAUGCAAACCAGGAGCAGCUGGCACCCCUCGGUUCCCCAGGCAUGCAAAUCCAUGUGCCCUUACAGGCUCACGAAGAAUUCUGUCAGAUGCUGUGUAAUAGUUCUGCUACUCUGUGAUGCUCCGUAAAGAUGAAAAUCAGAAAUUUGCCUGUGCUGAUUCACAUGACCUGUGGUCAGUGUCUAUCAACAAGGACCUGCCAGUUACUACUUCAUCUGGAGGAAACCCAGAGGAGUCAAAAGGAAAUGCUUC
Molecule: long non-coding RNA, 329 nt
Organism: Lepidothrix coronata (blue-crowned manakin)
Lineage: Eukaryota; Metazoa; Chordata; Aves; Passeriformes; Pipridae
Exons: 3
Source: RefSeq, a predicted model, not a curated record